AGCACCCGUAGUGGCGGGCGCGCUCCUACUCUGAUUCGCUUGUCGCCGGGCUCUGCGGAGACGCGGUAAAUGGGAGCAAGUCCAGCUUUCGUCCUGAGAGGACUAGGAAGGCCUGCGCUAGGGCUCUGGACUACAUUUCCCUGAGACCCCGAAGGUCGACCCCACGUGCUGCGGGAUUUCAGUUGCUUUUUGGGGAUGCUGUACUUUUCCAAGAGAGGAAUCCAGGGAAACACAACUCAGGUUCUGAGGACUCUCUACUCCUAAGCCUGAUGUGAUUUCCCUAUUGGAGCAAGGCAAAGAACCAUGGAUGAUUUCGAGGGACAUUAUGGAAGGAUGGUGCCCAGGCGGUAAAUUUUGUGACAUUUGAAUAAAGAAAAAAGAAAGCUGGGGCAGAAAAAGCCGUUAAUGCAAAUGAAGACAGGAAAGUGGACCUCAAUCCAAACAUAUCAACAAUUACAAUAAAUGCAAAUGGUGUAAACAUAUCAAAUCAAAGAUUUCCAAAUGGAUAAAUAUACAAGAUCAAAUUAUAUGCUGUCUAUAAGAAACUCACCUCAAAUAUUGGUCAAUUAAAAGUACAAGAAUAGAAAGAGGUAUAGCAUGCAGACACUAUAAAAAAGAUGGGCAAAGUUGUUAUAUUAACAUCAAACAUAUUUCAAAGAAAGAUGAUCACCAUGAUAAAGUCGGACAUUACACACCCUGAAGAGUCAGUUCAUUGAAAAGACAUAGCAUUCCUAAACCUUUAUGUACCUAAUAACAGAUUCAAGGCCAGGAAACAAAAGUGAGAGAAAGGAAAGGAGAAACAGAUAAACCCACCAUGUUAACUGAAGACUUCAACAUGCUUCUCUCAGUAAUUGAUAAAACUACUGGAUGAAAAAGUCAGCAAGUAAAUGGAAGAACUGAGCAACACCAUUAUGUGACUGAAUGUAAUUGACGUUUGUAGUACAAUUUGCCCAACAAUAUUAGAGUCCUAACUCUUCUCAAGCGUAUAUUGAAUGUUCUUCAAAGUAUCAUGAAGCAAAUCUUAAAAAUGUAAGGAACUGGGGCUCGGGUUAUUGCUAAGUUGGUAGAGUGCCUGCCUUGCAUGCACAAGGCCCUGGGUUCAAUCUCCAGCACCACAAAAAAAAAAAAAAAAAAAAAAAAAAAAAGUGAAGAACUGAAAUAAUACAUUGUAUGUUCUCUGACCAUAAUGGUAUUAAAUUAGAAAUCAAUUAACAGAAGGAUAAAGUUAAACCCUCCAAUCAUAUAGACAAUAAACAAUACAUUUCUGAGUAAUGCAUGAGUCGUGUAUUACUUUCUUCAUUUGAGGAAGAAGAUUUGACAGUAAAAGACUUGGAUACUUCAUCAGAGAAUGACAAAUAAACACAAAAGAAAUGUGUUUGGCAUCAUUAGCUAUUGGAGAAAUAUAAGUUAAAACCAUGAUAAAAUGCCAUUAAAAAUAACAAGUAACUAUAGAAUGGCUAAAAUCAAAUACUGCCAAUACCAAGUGAUAGCAAGGAUAUCGAGCUACUGGAAUGCACACAUUGCAAAAUAGUACAACCACUUUGGCAGAGUUUGGAAAUUUCUUUUGAACUUAAAUAUUGUAUAACCCAGGGAAAUGAAAAACAUUCUCAGAACAACCUGUACAUGGACAUCUGUAGCAGUUCUGUUCAUGAUUGCCCCAAACUGAAAACAACCCAGAUGUCCUUGAACAAGUGCAUGGCACAUCCAUUCAAUGGGAUGUCAUUCAUCAUUAAAAAGGAAUAAGCCAUCAACACCUGCACACAAGCAAGCCAUAUCCACAGAUGGAUCUCAAGAGCAUUAUACUGAAGGGGAAUAAAUCUCUGAAGAUUAUAUACUAUAUGAUUCCAUUUAUAUUACAAUCUAGAAAUGAAAAAAAUUAUAGUAAUGGAGAAAAGAUCAGUUGUUUACCAGAGGUUAGGAACAAGGAAAGAGAGUGACUGUAAAGGGAUGACAUGAAGCAGUUUAUUGGUUGAUGGAACUAUUCUGAGUAAUGGUGGUUACAUGAAUCUCUACAUGUAUCAAAAUUCAUACCAUGGCACUGGAAAACUUUGUGUGUGUGUGUGUGUGUGGUAUUGGGGAUUGAACCAAGGGCAGUCUACAGUGAGCUACAUCCUUU
Molecule: long non-coding RNA, 2116 nt
Organism: Sciurus carolinensis (gray squirrel)
Lineage: Eukaryota; Metazoa; Chordata; Mammalia; Rodentia; Sciuridae
Exons: 4
Source: RefSeq, a predicted model, not a curated record